GCCUGUUUUUCAGUGGUUGUCGUUGCAUGGUUGCUGGCUUUUAUAUGUUUUUUCGUUUUUUGGGUGUUUUUUUUGCACUUGCAUCAGACCGUUAGUUUUUUUUUUUUAUUAAAUUGUUUUGAUUUUUAGCUCACCUGGCCGAAAGGCCAAGUGAGCUUUUCUCAUCACUUGGCGUCCGGCGUCCGUCGUCGUCGUCGUCCGUCGUCGUCCUGCGUUAACUUUUACAAAAAUCUUCUCCUCUGAAACUACUGGGCC
This 255-nucleotide long non-coding RNA is filed under the name Mytilus galloprovincialis (Mediterranean mussel). Lineage: Eukaryota; Metazoa; Mollusca; Bivalvia; Mytilida; Mytilidae. The record is from RNAcentral.